AUUGAACGCUGGCGGAAUGCUUUACGCAUGCAAGUCGAGCGGCAGCGCGGGGGCAACCCUGGCGGCGAGCGGCGAACGGGUGAGUAACAUAUCGGAACGUACCCAGUCGUGGGGGAUAACUAUCCGAAAGGAUAGCUAAUACCGCAUACGUCCUGAGGGAGAAAGCGGGGAUCGCAAGACCUCGCGCGAUUGGAGCGGCCGAUAUCGGAUUAGCUAGUUGGUGGGGUAAAGGCUCACCAAGGCGACGAUCCGUAGCGGGUCUGAGAGGACGACCCGCCACACUGGAACUGAGACACGGUCCAGACUCCUACGGGAGGCAGCAGUGGGGAAUUUUGGACAAUGGGGGCAACCCUGAUCCAGCCAUUCCGCGUGAGUGAAGAAGGCCU
RNAcentral lists this ribosomal RNA (386 nucleotides) under uncultured bacterium. RNAcentral's name for it is "bacterial SSU rRNA". It matches the Rfam family "Bacterial small subunit ribosomal RNA", at positions 29 to 417 of the family's 1533-position model. The record is from RNAcentral.